AGUCACCUGCUCCUCAGAUCAGAAGGUGAUUGUGGCUUUGAGUAGAUAUUAAGCAGCCACAGCACUGCCUGGUCAGAAAGAGCAAGUGUACU
This is a microRNA precursor of Crocodylus porosus (Australian saltwater crocodile), 92 nucleotides long. NCBI's taxonomy places the organism in Eukaryota, Metazoa, Chordata, Crocodylia, Crocodylidae. The record is from Ensembl.